ACUCAAAUGAAUUGACGGGGGCUCACACAAGCGGUGGAGCAUGUGGCUUAAUUCGAGGCUACGCGAAGAACCUUAUCCCGGGCUUGACAUGUGCGAAAGCGGUCGGAAGUAGCCCGCGGAAACGUGGGGCCAACGGUAUCCAGUCCGGAACCGACUACAGGUGCUGCAUGGCUGUCGUCAGCUCGUGUCGUGAGAUGUCGGGUUAAGUCCCAUAACGAGCGAAACCCCUGCCCUCAGUUGCCACUCGUGGGACUCUGGGGGGACUGCCGGUGUCAAACCGGAGGAAGGUGGGGAUGACGUCAAGUCCUCAUGGCCUUUAUGCCCGGGGCUGCACACGUGCUACAAUGGCGUGAACAAAGGGAUGCGAGCCCGCGAGGGGGAGCCAAUCCCAAAAAGCACGCCCCAGUUCGGAUCGCAGGCUGCAACCCGCCUGCGUGAAGCCGGAAUCGCUAGUAAUCGCGGGUCAGCAACACCGCGGUGAAUGUGUUCCUGAGCCUUGCACACACCGCCCGU
RNAcentral lists this ribosomal RNA (513 nucleotides) under uncultured bacterium. Its description in RNAcentral is "partial 16S ribosomal RNA". It matches the Rfam family "Bacterial small subunit ribosomal RNA", at positions 899 to 1397 of the family's 1533-position model. The record is from RNAcentral.